UACGUAGGGUGCAAGCGUUAAUCGGAAUUACUGGGCGUAAAGCGUGCGUAGGCGGUUGUGUAAGCCAGAUGUGAAAUCCCCGGGCUUAACCUGGGAAUGGCAUUUGGGACUGCAAGGCUAGAGUGUGGCAGAGGAGACUGGAAUUCCUGGUGUAGCAGUGAAAUGCGUAGAUAUCAGGAGGAAUACCGAUGGCGAAGGCAGGUCUCUGGGCUAACACUGACGCUCAUGCACGAAAGCGUGGGGAGCAAACAGG
This 253-nucleotide ribosomal RNA is filed under the name uncultured bacterium. RNAcentral describes it as "partial 16S ribosomal RNA". It matches the Rfam family "Bacterial small subunit ribosomal RNA", at positions 524 to 776 of the family's 1533-position model. The record is from RNAcentral.